RNAcentral lists this ribosomal RNA (301 nucleotides) under uncultured bacterium. RNAcentral describes it as "partial 16S ribosomal RNA". It matches the Rfam family "Bacterial small subunit ribosomal RNA", at positions 509 to 807 of the family's 1533-position model. The record is from RNAcentral.
CAGUAGCCACGGUAAUACGAGGGGGGCAAGCGUUGUUCGGAAUUAUUGGGCGUAAAGGGUGCGUAGGCGGUUUGGUAAGUCUUGUGUGAAAUCUUCGGGCUCAACCCGAAGCCUGCACGAGAAACUGCCGGGCUUGAGUAUGGGAGAGGUGAGUGGAAUUUUCGGUGUAGCGGUGAAAUGCGUAGAGAUGUGGAGGAACACCAGUGGCGAAGGCGACUCUCUGGUCUGUAACUGACGCUGAGGAGCGAAAGCGUGGGGAGCGAACAGGAUUAGAUACCCCCGUAGUCCCUGUCUCUUAUAC